UCUGAAAGUCCAUCUUCUCUAACUUGGAUGAUUGGAUAAGCUUCAUGUCCUUAGAGAAUAUCUCUGGUGUGGCCAUCAGCUUAGGAUAGAGGUUGAAUUGGAAAUGGAGAUUAAUUCAGUCAACCCAUCUCGGAGACGGAGUCGCGAUAUCCGCCCUUGUACAUAUGAAGGGGGUUUCCGUCUUGAUUGUGCACCUCACUCGAUUGGGGAUGCGUACUAGCACUCUUUAUCCAAAGUUCAGGGCAUUUCUGGAGUCUGCGUGUUCUUCCACUUACUUUGCUGGAAUUGCAUUUUGUGCUUCUCUUACGAACACCUGGAACAACAAACUGAUCGUGGCUUCUCAAAAGGUGACAACUCAAGCCACACAUUAAUCAUCAAGGUGCAACCGUGCAAGUGAAGGCAGGGACUUUGACAGCUAGUGCAGGCAGGAACUUUGACAGCAACAAAAGCCAUUUCAUUGCUGGGAUUUGUUGGACAAGGUUGCUAGGAGUACUUCCAAGAGAACAUCAAGGGUGAGUGUUCCUCUCCAGACACCAAUUUUGAAGAUUUGUGUGGUUUGUCCUGCUUGGUCAAUUCUUUGUUCAGCUUGUUUGUAAGGCCAUAUGUUUUUAUCACGUAACAAAAGGUAGAAAGCAGGAGACUUUUGUAGGGACUGUUGUUGACUUUCAAAACAGAUGAUACACAUGUAUCGUAUACGAGAUUGCGACCGCUCAGGGAUCUCCAUAGCUCCACGGUGACACAAGUAAAAGAGACACUGCACAAAAAAAAACAAGUAGCAGCACUGGUAGGUUAGAGAGAGGCCUCAACCUUUUAGCGUCUGCUUACCGGCUCCUCCUUCGAACAAAGUUGUUGAACUCUUCUUCUCUCCUUUGCAGCAGGGCUUUCGCCUUUCUCUUGAUGUGUUUUCUGUGUCCUUCACUCUAGCACUAUGCUUGCUUUUAUAGAGUGUACAUGAGGAUAAGAUUGAGUCUUGAAUUUGAAUUUCAAAUUACUUUAUCUCAUGGCAGAUCAUGUAUGGCAGAUAAAUUCUGUUGCAUUCAGUUUGAAACGAAC
Rosa chinensis is the source of this 1053-nucleotide long non-coding RNA. RefSeq lists it as uncharacterized. Lineage: Eukaryota; Viridiplantae; Streptophyta; Magnoliopsida; Rosales; Rosaceae. The transcript is spliced from 6 exons. The record is from RefSeq and is a predicted model, not a curated record.